UACGGAGGGUGCAAGCGUUAUCCGGAUUUACUGGGUUUAAAGGGUGCGCAGGCGGACUAUUAAGUCAGUGGUGAAAUCUUUCAGCUUAACUGGAAAACUGCCAUUGAUACUGAUAGUCUUGAAUAUAGUUGAUGUGGGCGGAAUUUGGCAUGUAGCGGUGAAAUGCUUAGAUAUGCCAAGGAACACCAAUUGCGAAGGCAGCUCACAAAGCUAUUAUUGACGCUCAGGCACGAAAGCGUGGGUAGCGAACAGG
Molecule: ribosomal RNA, 253 nt
Filed under: uncultured bacterium
Lineage: Bacteria
Description: partial 16S ribosomal RNA
Rfam family: Bacterial small subunit ribosomal RNA
Source: RNAcentral